UAACGCCAGCUCUGGCUGGAAAGCAUUGACGGCUGGCACAAAGUUGAGGAGUGCGAUGAACACAAAAUAGACAUUGGCCAAGCGGUGGAACUGUUCAAAGAGGUUCUUGGGCAGGAAGGAGAGCACAGUGUACUUGGUGGUCUUCAGACGGUUGCUGGCCAGAACCGUCCUCCUAGACUUCUCUGCCUCGGCCUCAGAAAUGCCACUGCGGGACAAGGAGGACACACUAUCACUCUGCAGUAUUCCCAGAAAUGAGGCUUCACUCACCAGAGGGCUCCUUGCAGGCAGUUGCAGAUAAUCCAAAACUGCCACUUGCCCACUGUUUUGUAAGACUCUGGUCCAUCUUUAACCUCUAGGACCUCAAGCAUUGUUCAGGCUUCAUCUUUUUUUUCCCAGAUGGUCCUCUAGCUUGUUUACACAAUGUUUGGUGAUUAGAGGAACAUCGGCAGCAAUCUUUAGUCUCUUGUGAUGUCAAAGCAUAUCAUGUUUCAGAGCAAGCUACUCAUAUAUUUAUUAGUGCCAGGUAACUCAGAAGCGGCUUCAGUAUAGCAUGUCUGAACAGAAUGCUGGUGCAGACACCAAUGAUGAAGGGUAGUGUUGAGCCUGUCCUGGGAGGGGAAGUGACCCAGUUACUACACCACUGAGAAACAGGGUCAUUGGAGCAAAGCACUAAAACUGAGGAAUGCCUGAGGAUUACUCUGUGCUCCAACAAAGCAAAUCCUGCCACCCAUUGAUGUCUCCUUCCUGUGAGGAGCUCUUCCUUCAUUGUCACAUGGCUGCUUCUGACCAUCCUCCAUCUCACUGGCCAAAACACUCUGCAAUUUGCUAGGUAUCUGCCGUUAAACUGAAUCUGGCCUUUUACACCCAACAUCUCUUGAGUUUCAAGCCUUCCCCAGUAUCUGACUCUUUUCAACUGUACAGAUUUUCUUCAAAUUAAGAACUAAAGAUGAAAAAUGUGUCUAGUGAGCUCAUCUUUGAUAGCCUAGACCAUUAAAAGCUGAGUCUCUAGAUAUGACACUGCUUUGAAGGCCAGAAGGAACCAAAGGAUUGUCUGACCCAAGAUACUGUAUUAACUUGGCCUUUUAAAUGUCACACAGCCCACAGCCUGGAAUCAUUAAGUUACAGAAUCACAGAAUAUAUCUGGCUGGUAGAGACUUCAAAGAUCAUCCAAUCCAACCUUCGAUUCAGCACAGAAGGGACAUUAAACCAUGUCCCUAAAUGCCAGGUCCACACACUGUUUGGAAACCUCCAGGGAUAGUGACUCCAGCACUGACCUGGACAGACCAUUCCAAUGUUUGGUAACCCUCUCUGUGAAAUAUUUUGUAACAUCUGGCCUGAUCCUCCCCUGGUGCAACUUGAAACCAAUUCCUCUGGUUCUGUGACUUGACACCAAGGAGAAGAGGCUGGCCUUCACCAGUGCCAAGUACAGGACAAUGACCACCGUCCUGUUCCUGCUGGCCACAGUGUUUCUAACACAAGCCAGAAUGCCACUGGCUUUCUUGGCCACCUGAGCACACUGCUGAGUCAUGUUUAGUCCAUUGUCAACCAAUACCCCCAGGUCCCCCCCAGGUAGCAGCUUUCCAACCACACAUCCCCAAGUCUGUAGCUUACCAUGGUGUUGUUGUGACCCAGGUGGAGGACCUGGCACUUGGCCUUGUUAAACUUUAUACCAUUAGCCUUGGCCCAUCAGUCUAACCUGUCUGGAUCAUGAUGUAAAGCUUCCCUACCCUCUAGCAGAUUGACACAGCUACCCAUCUUGGACAUCUGCAAACUUACUGAGAGUGCACUCAAUCCCCUCAUCCAGAUCACUGAUAAAGAUUUUAAAGAGGGCAGGCCCCAGUACUGAACCCUGAGGGUAUCACAAGUAACUGAGUGCUAUCCAGACUUAAAUCCAUUCACCACCACUCUUUGGGCUCAACCAUUCAGACAGUUUUUAAUCCAAUGCAGAGUGCUCUUACCCAAGCCUCGCACCAUUGAGUUUCUGAAGGAGAAUGCUGUGGGAGACAGUGUCAAGGGCUUUACUAAUGUCCAAGCAGACAAUGUCCACAACACUACUCUCAUCAACUAGGUUGGUCACCUUAUUCUAGAAGAUCAGAUUAGUCAGACAGGCGCUGCCUUUCAUAAACCCAUGCUGAUGGGGCCUGAUUCCUGCUUGUCUUGUAAGUGCUGUAUGAUGGCACAGAAUCACAGAACCUUAAUGGUUGAAAGGGACCUCCAGAGAUCAUCGACUCUGAGAAAUAUAUGUUUGAUCCGAUCAAUUCGUGGCAAGAGGCCACAGACAGGGAGGAAGGAGAGUUUUGAAUGGAGCUGCACUCCUCCUUGCACAACCAUCACAGAAACAUACACUUGACUUAAGAUAACAGCAAUAAAUAAUUAGAAACUAGAAAGACUGGUGGAGGAGGGAGGCAGGUGGAAGAGACAGCCUUUGCGCGUGAGCAAACCGAGGACUAGUUUGGAGUUCAUGGAAAGGACACUUGGGGAAGACCCCUCACUUCAUCACUGAAGACCACCAGAGGGACCACGUGUGGAAGAGACACCUCCCAUUCUUAGAACUGAUAAGGAAAACCCAACCUUUUUUUAGAAUUAGUAAUGAAUAUGUAAUAGAAUAGGAUAUAAAAAGAGAAAACUGAAGGCAAAGAGCAAAGCCUCCCCGCGCACCCAGGCCUGUACAUUGCUUGAUUCCUGCAACUCUAUUAAAGCCUUAACUUGCAUGAAUGCAUGUUUAUGCCUGUUAUUUAUGACAACUCCAGCCUCUUCUGCCAAGGCACAAUUCCCUAGGGUAGUUUGCUCAGGAACACAUUAGGGUGGGUUUUGAAAGUCUCCAAAGAAGGAGGCUCCACUGCCUCUCUGGGCAGCCUGUUCCAAUGCUCUGUCACCCUCACUGUAAAGAAGUUUCUCCUCAUGUUGAGGUGAAAUCUUCUAUGUUCCAGUUUGUAGCUACUGCUCCUUGUCUUACUGCUGCUGACCAGUGAAAAGAUAUUUGCCCCAUCCACUUGACAGCCACCCCUCAGAUAUUUAUACACAUUUAUCAGAUCUCCUCUCAGUCUUCUCCAGACUAAACAACCCCAGGUUUCUCAGUCUGUCUUUGUAGGGGAGAUGCUCAGGUCCCCCAGUCAUCCUCAUGUCUCUCUGCUGCCACUCAGUUAAGUUCCAUAAGCAGUUUUUAUUAUGUGGACAGGCUGUUUGCUUAGAAAUUAGAUAUAGGUUGUUUUAUUCUUCUCAGAUUAACCAUCUCUAAUUAGAUUUUCUGUGAUUUGAGGUUUUGUAGGUAUAUGAGUAUCAUAAAAGGGACCAAAAAUGCUUUUAGCCUGAUGGUUGAGUGGAAUGGUAUGAAAAUAACAUCCACUUAAAAUCUGAGAAAGAAAACUUAAUAGAUAAUGAGAAAGGGUCCCAAAUAUGUUACUAAUAAAAUAACUCAUUAUUUGACUUGUCAGUAUUUUUGAAUGCCUGGAGUUAUCGUUAUUCCAUUUUAACAGAAGAUGAAGCAGGUCUAAUUUUAACACAUUGUCUAAUUUACUAGUCCACUUUUGUAAUAUUUAUAUGAUCCUAAAAUAAAGGUUUCUCAUGUUGGAUAUUGCCAGAAA
Molecule: long non-coding RNA, 3584 nt
Organism: Pogoniulus pusillus (Red-fronted tinkerbird)
Lineage: Eukaryota; Metazoa; Chordata; Aves; Piciformes; Lybiidae
Exons: 3
Source: RefSeq, a predicted model, not a curated record